GGGGAACUAAUUGAACCUUCUUUUUUUUUGUUCUAAAUUCUAUAGACAUGGGUUCUGAUUCAACAUCUAGAGAUUCCAACAAUAACGAUGAUGAUUUGUCCACUUGGUGUUAUUCUCUACCAACAGGCUCACCAACAGACCUUGACGUGCUAAUGGGAAGUUACCCCAUUUCAGACAUGUUCAGAGAUGCACCAAUUACCGGAGCAUUCGAUUCAUCCAUAAGGGGUCAGUACAAUAACAAUAAUAAUACUUUUAUUGAUGGUCCAA
Molecule: long non-coding RNA, 267 nt
Organism: Asparagus officinalis (garden asparagus)
Lineage: Eukaryota; Viridiplantae; Streptophyta; Magnoliopsida; Asparagales; Asparagaceae
Exons: 3
Source: RefSeq, a predicted model, not a curated record